AAUAACUUUCGGGGCAGGGUGAAAUUCCCGAUCGGCGGUAUAGUCCGCAAGCUUUUAGAAGCAUGAACUGGUUUAAUUCCAGUACCGACAGUAAAGUCUGGAUGAAAGAAAGUAAGG
Regulatory RNA element from Clostridium tyrobutyricum DIVETGP, 117 nucleotides. It matches the Rfam family "FMN riboswitch aptamer (RFN element)". Rfam says of the family: The RFN element is a highly conserved domain that is found frequently in the 5'-untranslated regions of prokaryotic mRNAs that encode for flavin mononucleotide (FMN) biosynthesis and transport proteins. The record is from Rfam. NCBI's taxonomy places the organism in Bacteria, Bacillati, Bacillota, Clostridia, Eubacteriales, Clostridiaceae.